Molecule: ribosomal RNA, 391 nt
Filed under: uncultured bacterium
Lineage: Bacteria
Description: bacterial SSU rRNA
Rfam family: Bacterial small subunit ribosomal RNA
Source: RNAcentral
GUGUCAGCCGCCGCGGUAAUACGGAGGGUGCAAGCGUUGUCCGGAUUUAUUGGGUUUAAAGGGUGCGUAGGUGGCCCGUUAAGUCCGGGGUGAAAGCCCACAGCUCAACUGUGGAACUGCCCUGGAUACUGGCGGGCUUGAGAGUCGUCGAGGGUGGCGGAAUGGACGGUGUAGCGGUGAAAUGCAUAGAUACCGUCCAGAACCCCAAUUGCGUAGGCAGCUGCCUAGGCGACAUCUGACACUGAGGCACGAAAGCGUGGGGAGCGAACAGGAUUAGAUACCCUGGUAGUCCACGCCGUAAACGAUGGAUACUCGUUGCCAGCGAUAGACUGUUGGUGACUUAGCGAAAGCGGUAAGUAUCCCACCUGGGGAGUACGCUCGCAAGAGUGAA